GACGAACGCUGGCGGCGUGCUUAACACAUGCAAGUCGAACGGUGAAGCGCCUUCCUUUUUGGUGGGUGUGGAUGAGUGGCGAACGGGUGAGUAACACGUGAGUAACCUGCCCCCUUCUUCUGGAUAACCGCAUGAAAGUGUGGCUAAUACGGGAUAUUCUGGGUCUGUCGCAUGAUGGGUCUGUGAAAGAUAUUGUUUCGGUGGGGGAUGGGCUCGCGGCCUAUCAGCUUGUUGGUGGGGUGAUGGCCUACCAAGGCGGUGACGGGUAGCCGGCCUGAGAGGGUGGACGGUCACACUGGGACUGAGACACGGCCCAGACUCCUACGGGAGGCAGCAGUGGGGAAUAGUGCACAAUGGGCGCAAGCAUGAUGCAGCGCCGCCGCGUGAGGGAUGGAGGCCUUCGGGUUGUGAACCUCUUUCGCCAGUGAAGCAGGCCUGCCUCGUAUGUGGGUGGGUUGACGGUAGCUGGAGAAGAAGCGCCGGCUAACUACGUG
This 494-nucleotide ribosomal RNA is filed under the name uncultured bacterium. RNAcentral's name for it is "partial 16S ribosomal RNA". It matches the Rfam family "Bacterial small subunit ribosomal RNA", at positions 28 to 507 of the family's 1533-position model. The record is from RNAcentral.